CGCCCGCUCCUCCUCCAAGUCAGUCCCGAGGUGUUUUGGGGCUGAGAGCCACCAAAAAGGGGCAUUUUCCCUAACAAGGCAAAGCUGAGUGAAAAGCACGAGCCUAACAAAAAAAUCCCUGCCCAGGGACUUAUCCAGCCAGGAAGGAACAGGGGAAUGUUGGGUGGUGAAACAAAGAAACCCACUGCUUCCAGACAUUCAGGACACAGGUGGAUCCCAUUGGUGCUUGAAUCCAAACACCAUCACCACUGGCCAAUUAAGAAACCACCCUUUGGCAGACAAAUCUCCAUAAGACAUUCCACAUGUUCACAACAGGUGCAGCAAGUGAAGGGCUGCACAGGGAUGUGGGGAUGCAGUCACAGCCCCUCACUGCAGGUCCCACUUGGGCCAGGUUUGGGGUCCCCAGGACCCUUUGUUCCUGCUCCUGCCCCCUUUACACCACCCACUGCCCAGCCUGUCAUGUAUGCAAGCAGAAAACCUGCAGGAACAAGCCCAAACCAAAAUUUGGGGUGUGGAUUUGCUCAUCCUCAGCCUAAGAGCGCUUUUCUGCCAGAGGACUCUCCUCCAGGUAUUGCUUUGUGCUGCUGUGAGGAGCACUCGAUGCUGCUGGGAGUGGCACUGGGAUGAUCCCACAGGAAUCACUGGACUGGGGAAUUUUUCAUAAUUCAAGACCUGAUUGUUGAGAGCAGAUGUGAUGCAGACACAACUGCAAGUAAACAGAAGCAGAAGUCAAGCCCAAGGUGAAGGCCAAGUACAGGCAGAUUUCAAGCCCAAGGAGCUGUCAUGGGGUUCUUCUUAACUUUUCCACUGAGGAACUCCUGAUGCAUUCUGUGACUGACCACUGGGGUUGUGAAGGGCAUCUCAGUUUGCAUCAGCCUUGGACGGGAGGUGAAUAAAUGCGAUUAUUCUUUUUUCAUUCUAAGAUCUUUUAGCAAAAUCACACAUUUGUUUUUCUCUGUUUUAAGCUUCCUGAGAGAUUUGUUGAGGCUUUAUUGAAA
Molecule: long non-coding RNA, 998 nt
Organism: Passer domesticus (house sparrow)
Lineage: Eukaryota; Metazoa; Chordata; Aves; Passeriformes; Passeridae
Exons: 3
Source: RefSeq, a predicted model, not a curated record